Molecule: unclassified non-coding RNA, 240 nt
Filed under: Glomeraceae sp.
Lineage: Eukaryota; Fungi; Glomeromycota; Glomeromycetes; Glomerales; Glomeraceae
Description: partial contains 5.8S ribosomal RNA and internal transcribed spacer 2
Rfam family: 5.8S ribosomal RNA (bases 1-71)
Source: RNAcentral
GUGAAUCAUCAAAUUUUUGAACGCAAAUUGCACUCUCUGGUAAUCCGGAGAGUAUGCCUGUUUGAGGGUCAGUUUAAAUAAAAAUCGGUGUGGUUGUUGCAUUUCGUGGUGACGUACCGGAUUUGGGUCGUAUUACCUUCGGUUAAGUAAAUUAAUAUUUAGCAUGAUUUUUUUCGAAAGAAUUAAAAUGAUUUUAUGUUCGUUUGCGUUAUAGAAUAUUAGGUUAGGACAUCCUAAUGA